This 253-nucleotide ribosomal RNA is filed under the name uncultured bacterium. Its description in RNAcentral is "partial 16S ribosomal RNA". It matches the Rfam family "Bacterial small subunit ribosomal RNA", at positions 524 to 776 of the family's 1533-position model. The record is from RNAcentral.
UACGGGGGGGGCAAGCGUUGUUCGGAAUUACUGGGCGUAAAGGGCUCGUAGGCGGCCAACUAAGUCAGACGUGAAAUCCCUCAGCUUAACUGGGGAACUGCGUCUGAUACUGGAUGGCUUGGAUUCGGGAGAGGAAUGCGGAAUUCCAGGUGUAGCGGUGAAAUACGUAGAUAUCUGGAGGAACACCGGUGGCGAAGGCGGCAUUCUGGACCGAUAUUGACGCUGAGGAGCGAAAGCCAGGGGAGCAAACGGG